CCAAUAGCGUAUAUUAAAGUUGUUGCAGUUAAAAAGCUCGUAGUUGAAUUUCGGGAUCAAUAUGUUGGUCGUGCCUAGGUAUGUACUGGCAUUAUUGGUUUCUCCCUUCUGAAGAACCACGAUGCCAUUAAUUUGGUGUCGUGGGGAAUCAGGACUGUUACUUUGGAAAAAUUAGAGUGUUUAAAGCAGGCUCGCGCUUGAAUACAUUAGCAUGGAAUAAUGAAAUAGGACGUUUGAUUCUAUUUUGUUGGUUUCUAGGAUCGACGUAAUGAUUAAUAGGGAUAGUUGGGGGCAUUAGUAUUCAAUUGUCAGAGGUGAAAUUCUUGGAUUUAUUGAAGACUAACUACUGCGAAAGCAUUUGCCAAGGAUGUUUUCAUUAAUCAAGAACGAAAGUUAGGGGAUCGAAGACGAUCAGAUACCGUCGUAGUCUUAACCAUAAACUAUGCCGACUAGGGAUCGGAUGGUGUUAAUUUUUUAAUGACUCAUUCGGCGCCUUACG
Molecule: ribosomal RNA, 499 nt
Filed under: uncultured Glomeromycotina
Lineage: Eukaryota; Fungi; Glomeromycota
Description: partial small subunit ribosomal RNA
Rfam family: Eukaryotic small subunit ribosomal RNA
Source: RNAcentral